This 62-nucleotide transfer RNA is filed under the name Rhabdosynochus viridisi. RNAcentral describes it as "tRNA-Asp". The record is from RNAcentral. Lineage: Eukaryota; Metazoa; Platyhelminthes; Monogenea; Dactylogyridea; Diplectanidae.
ACAGUUUUAGUUUAAUAAAAAUAUUAAUUUGUCGGGUUAAAGAUGUUUAAUAACAAAUUGUA